Molecule: non-coding RNA, 935 nt
Organism: Oncorhynchus mykiss (rainbow trout)
Lineage: Eukaryota; Metazoa; Chordata; Actinopteri; Salmoniformes; Salmonidae
Source: the annotation of a RefSeq genome assembly
GUGCUCUGGGAGUGUUUAUAUCCCUGUGAGUUGAACACUUCAUGACUGAGAGCUGUCCUUCAUGACAACAGAACCCACAACAACCAUGACUUUUAUCACCAUCUUCAUCUGGACACUUGCUUUAUGCUUUCAAGAAUCCAGAGGGCAGCACAUUGUGACUCAGACUCCUGCAGUGAAAGCUGUUCUCCCAGGACAGUCAGUCUCUCUGAACUGUAAAACCAGCAGUAAUGUGCAUGGAAAUAACUAUCUAGCCUGGUACCAACAUAAACCUGGAGGAGCUCCUAAACUCCUUAUUUACUAUGCUACAACACUUCAGUCUGGGAUUCCAUCUAGAUUCAGUGGCAGUGGAUCUCAUAGUGACUUCACUCUGACCAUCAGUGGAGUCCAGGCUGAAGAUGCAGGAGAAUACUACUGUCAGAGUUUACACUACCCCAAUAGUAAAUAUGUGUUCACACGGUGAUACAGAGUUGUACAAAAACCUCCCUCAGUCAGACUGCACAGCUGGAACCUACUGCAGGUGCUGAGGGGGAAGAGAAAGUGACAUGAAACACUGAUUAGUAGAGGAGGUCAACUUUGAAUAAGGUUAGAAAGUAUCAUUCAGAUCAAACGUUCUCCAACGUUGUCACCAUAGCUCUCAUCAUCAUCAUUUCAUUAUUAUCAUCUUCAUGGCUGUAACUUGUUAUAAUGGUCAUGAACUGAAAGUGUAUAUACAAGUUAUUAGACGUUUUGGAAGACAUUACCAGUCCAUAUGUAGAAUAAGAUCUACUGAAGUAAAAAGAAAAGUGAUGUUAAAUCAGCAUCUACCCCUCAAACCAAAUCCCUACAUGAGCUUCACAACCAAUUAUUGAUGUGAUCAUCUAGCAUGUAUUAACCCUUUUCUUGAACUGUUAGAUCUGUGAAUGAGACAUGAUGCUGGGCUCAAACACAUCAGGAUA